This 63-nucleotide transfer RNA is filed under the name Lucifotychus sp. 1 EF-2015. Its description in RNAcentral is "tRNA-Arg". The record is from RNAcentral. Lineage: Eukaryota; Metazoa; Arthropoda; Insecta; Coleoptera; Staphylinidae.
AAAUAAGAAACAAUCAAUUUGUAUUUAGCUUCGACCUAAAAUUUAGACUUUAGUCCUUAUUUU